Molecule: long non-coding RNA, 3148 nt
Organism: Papio anubis (olive baboon)
Lineage: Eukaryota; Metazoa; Chordata; Mammalia; Primates; Cercopithecidae
Source: Ensembl
GUUGUACUGAAAUACAAUAAAGAGUAUAAUAAAUUAAAUGAUUAUAUACAAACAAGCAAUUUAUUUGGAAAAUUUAUCUACACACACACGCACACGUAUUUCCAGUAAUAAGACUUGAAUUAUAUACUAAUACUCUCCUCCUUUCUUUUUUGUUCUAGGCAAACUGGCAGUCAUACUCUUCUCUAAAUGAGCCAACACUCACCAGGAGACCUCAGUAGAACUCUCUCUUCUCUGCUGGAAAGGUUUUGCCUCCCCAGGACCCAUCCCUCACCAUCCAUGCAUGACAUUCUGAUCUCAAGUAUCCACUCCUCAAAGGAGAAACAGUUCCCAGGGACAGAAAACAGCCAGUGCAAACAUUCUGAGGUAGGCGCAUUCCAGCAUGAUGAUUAAUUUUUCAGCCUAUGAACACUUUCUAAGGAGAUUUUCAUCAUUCAGGCCAUUGGUCCAAAUAUUACUAUUUGACAAAACUGAGAAUAAAAGUAAGUCUCUCUCAAGUUUUCAAAUCUCUCCAAGUUCUCAGGUACGAGGCUUAGCGUGCCCUAUUUCAGAAAUUUAGUUUUCACAUUAGGAGGCCAAAUUUAUGAGCUAAGACCCUUCCUCAAAAUUAUGCUAAAAUGUGAGUGUUGUAUAAUGCUGCAUUGGUCUUUUCUUAAAUUGAGAUAUACAUAGAAGUAAUCAUGUUUAUAGUAUCUGAGUCUUGCAAUGUUUUUCUCAGUUUUUCAUGCUGUAGAAUCCUCUGCAUCUCAGAUUAGCUUUCAGCAGUAAGAUAGAGACCUCAAUCCUGUGCCUCUUCCUAUGCAGGUUAAUCCUAAACUAAAGAUAAAGUCUUACAGACUUUAAUGAAUCUUACUGCAAGUCUAAAUCAUGUACAGAACCCUGGUUUUAGAGAGUAUUAGGAAUUUAGCUUAUAGUUUUAUUUUUCUAGCUUCUGCUAACAAUAAAAACUUGCUAAAAGUCAAUAGGAAUAAAUAUUAGGCAAAUUAGUCUCAUCCAUAGAAUCUGUCUAAAACAACAAAAAAGAAAGCACUUUGGUUCUGUGUCUGGUUUUUCUUUUGUUUUUUUGUUUUUGUUUUUUUUUUCAGCAAUGCAUUUCAGCAGGGUAAAAUACUUGAAUAAAAGACAUCAAUGUUUUAGGCUGUCUUUAAAGCUAGAUGUGGCUAAUGACUGAGAUGUUGCCAAUUCCUGGCCAAUGGAAUUUGUGAGAAAAUGUUGGAUAUACUUUCAGAACAAUUCAUUAAAAGGAAUUGACCUAGAUAGAAGGGCCACCUUGUCCUUUUCUAAGUUUCCUCCUUUUACUGGUCCAAGUGUAAGUGGGAUGACUGAGGCUCUAGACACCAUCAUGGGCCAGCAGGCGAUCUUGCUCAUGUAUGUAUGGCAGAGCAAAAACAACUGAGCCUAAUCCUCACUGACACCACGGACUCCUCCUGCCAAGCUGUGAACUUCUUACUACUGGACUUCCUUAUUUGAAAGAAAUAGUUUCAUUUUGUUUAGUCUAUUUUAAUUUGGUAAUUUUUCUCUUUAUGAGUUCCUAUUCACUCCUUACUAGUACAAUCAUCUCAUCCGGUCUUUUAAAACAUUUUUGUAUAAUAAUAAUAAAUAAAUUAAAAAAAAAACAUUUUUGAAGUGAUGGACAUAGGUAAAAAUAUCUAUUUUCACCACUCCGAAUUAGAGGGCAAUUGUGUGAUUUUGAGUGAAUUUUGUCAACUUUUUGAAAGGCUAUCUUUCUUUAGCUUGUGUCAGCUAGUCUUAGAUAACUUAAUUGGCUGAAACUACCCUCAACAGAUUUCCCUGUAUUUCUGAUUAGUUACCAGUGCUGAUGUAAAGUUUUCCCUUCAAAAUGUUGAUUAUUUCAGUGAACUUCAAGUAGAAUUGCUACCUUACACUGAAUUUUCCAGUGUGCUCAUUCAUAUAUGUAUUCAUGUAUAUGUACAAGGACAUAUGUUCAUGUGUGUAUACAUAUAUACACAAAUGCAUACUUAUGAUGUUUGUAAUUUCAUAAACAUUUUUUGAGCACCUAUUAUAUGCUAGAUAUAGGAAAUUUAAAAUGUCUUCAGAGAUCAUAAAUAGGUUUUAUUUGUAUCAAUGUGGCUAAAAUGCAGAGUGAAGAGAAGCUUUUGAAAAUACGACGACUGGGAAACUUAUGCUAAAUAGAGAAAUUCAAAUUAGGUCUAAUAGAAUUUGAUUCUAGAAUGAUGACUACUCUUCUAAAAUAAAAUGAAAACAACAGACUGUUCUCUUUAAACUCAGAGCAAUGAGAAAAUCCUUUACAUAAUACAAAGUUCUUGUUCCAAUUCUUUGAGUAAUCCCUCUGAGUCACGUAAGUCAAAACAAACUAAAUAUUGGAAUAGAAUUAAUUCAAAUAAAUUAAAAAUUGGAAUUUGAAAUUCAUGGCUUCACUUUUUAAUUUUUGUUACUUUCCUUUAACAAUAGGCAGUGAAUUUUUAUUCAUACCAUGAACAACAUUACUUCCUAAUAUGAGUGAAAUAUAACACAAAACACAAAUAAUCUGACCUUAAUUCUGUUACUGGUUAGCCUCAAGGAAUGUUAUGAUAAUGUAUUGUGUUAUGUCUGUAUAAAUCAAUGAAGUCUGAAGAAUAAAAAAAGCAGAUAUUUGAAAACUAUCUUUAACUGCAUACUUUAUGCUGAUUUUAAGCAACAGCAUGCUAUCUCAUAUGUGCAUAUGCUGAUUCAUUACAUAAUGGAAAGGAUACUGUAUUUGGAAUCAGACUCCUGGGUGAGAAUUUUUGCUUUACCACUAAUAAUAAAACCUGUGUUUCCUAUCUGUAAAUGGGAAAAAUAAUGCCUUCCCUACCCUACUUUCACAGUUGUUGGGUAGAUGUAACUUAGGGCCAUGGAAGAGCCCUGACUCUAAAUCAGAACAUCCAUGUUCCAUUCCUGACUCUAUCAUUGAUGCCCUUCAUAGCCUUAAAUACGACACUUUUCCAAUCUUUUCCUUAUUUGGCUUACUUCUAAAUGAAAGGCUAAGUCACUUGUGUCUUAUUGAUAUUCAGUACUUUCUAGUUAAUUUGAUUUUAAAAUAAUUUCAAACUUAUAGAAAUAAUGCAAAUAGCAAAAGUAAUUCUCUUAUAUACUUUAUGCAGAUUCACCAUUUUUGAACAUUUUGUCACAAUUGUUUUAUUAUUCCUUG